ACCAGCAGCCACAUCACCCUGCAACUCACAACUGGCAGCCCACUGAAGCUCAGCAGGUGUGAGCCUGGUCAGUACCUGGAUGGGAGACCUCCUGGGAAAAACUAAGGUUGCUGCUGGAA
This 119-nucleotide ribosomal RNA is filed under the name Lepisosteus oculatus (spotted gar). Lineage: Eukaryota; Metazoa; Chordata; Actinopteri; Semionotiformes; Lepisosteidae. The record is from RNAcentral.